This 378-nucleotide unclassified non-coding RNA is filed under the name plant metagenome. Its description in RNAcentral is "partial contains 5.8S ribosomal RNA, internal transcribed spacer 2, and large subunit ribosomal RNA". The stretch from base 1 to 105 matches the Rfam family "5.8S ribosomal RNA", at positions 50 to 154 of the family's 154-position model. The record is from RNAcentral.
GAAAUGCGAUAAGUAAUGUGAAUUGCAGAAUUCAGUGAAUCAUCGAAUCUUUGAACGCACCUUGCGCUCCUUGGUAUUCCUUGGAGCAUGCCUGUUUGAGUAUCAUGAAAUCUUCAAAGUAAAUCUUUUGUUAACUCAAUUGGUUUCUACUUUGGUAUUGGAGGUCUUUGCAGCUUCACACCUGCUCCUCUUUGUUCAUUAGCUGGAUCUCAGGGUUAUGCUUGGUUCCACUCGGCGUGAUAAGUUAUCUAUCGCUGAGGACACUGUAAAAGGUGGCCAAGGUAAAUGCAGAUGAACCGCUUCUAAUAGUCCAUUGACUUGGACAAUACUUUUAUGAUCUGAUCUCAAAUCAGGUAGGACUACCCGCUGAACUUAAGC